CCUACGGGAGGCAGCAGUAAGGAAUAUUGGUCAAUGGACGCAAGUCUGAACCAGCCAUGCCGCGUGCAGGAUGACGGCCCUCUGGGUUGUAAACUGCUUUUAUACGGGAAGAAACCUCUGGUUGCGAUCAGAGCUGACGGUACCGUAAGAAUAAGGACCGGCUAACUUCGUGCCAGCAGCCGCGGUAAUACGAAGGGUCCAAGCGUUAUCCGGAUUUAUUGGGUUUAAAGGGUGCGUAGGCGGCUUAUUAAGUCAGUGGUGAAAGACUUCAGCUUAACUGAAGAACUGCCAUUGAUACUGAUGAGCUUGAAUAUACUUGAGGUGGGCGGAAUGUGUCAUGUAGCGGUGAAAUGCUUAGAUAUGACACAGAACACCGAUUGCGAAGGCAGCUCGCUAAAGUAUGAUUGACGCUGAUGCACGAAGACGGUGGGGAGGACGAAACAAGGAGUUAGUAUACCCUACGGUAGUACCACCGACCCUAACCGUUACGUAUAACUACGUAUGUGUGCGAUAUAC
Molecule: ribosomal RNA, 516 nt
Filed under: uncultured bacterium
Lineage: Bacteria
Description: bacterial SSU rRNA
Rfam family: Bacterial small subunit ribosomal RNA
Source: RNAcentral